GCUAGCGGCAGGCUUAAUACAUGCAAGUCAAGGGGUAGCAAUACAACCGGCGCACGGGUGAGUAACGCGUACACAACAUACCAUAUACUGGGGUAUAGCUUUGGGAAACUGAAGGUAAUCCCCCAUAACAUUGCGAGAGGGCAUCUGAUUGCAAUUAAAGUUUCGGCGGUAUAUGAUUGGUGUGCGUUUGAUUAGCUAGUUGGUAGGGUAACGGCCUACCAAGGCGACGAUCAAUAGCUGGCGUGAGAGCGCGACCAGCCACACUGGAACUGAGACACGGUCCAGACUCCUACGGGAGGCAGCAGUAGGGAAUAUUGGACAAUGGAGGAAACUCUGAUCCAGCCAUGCCGCGUGAUAGAUGAAGGCCCUCUGGGUUGUAAAUAUCUUUUAUCUGGGAAGAAACAAUCUUAUUCUUAAGAUCUUGACGGUACCAGAGGAAUAAGCACCGGCUAACUCCGUG
This 460-nucleotide ribosomal RNA is filed under the name uncultured bacterium. Its description in RNAcentral is "bacterial SSU rRNA". It matches the Rfam family "Bacterial small subunit ribosomal RNA", at positions 35 to 507 of the family's 1533-position model. The record is from RNAcentral.